UAUUGAGAGUUUGAUCCUGGCUCAGGACGAACGCUGGCGGCGCGCCUAACACAUGCAAGUCGAGCGAUGAACAUUGAAUGAUCCCUUCGGGGUGAUUUCGAUCGGAUUAGCGGCGAACGGGUGAGUAACGCGUGAGGAACCUGCCUCUUACAACGGGAUAGCCUCGGGAAACCGGGAUUAAUACCGUAUAAGACUCCGACANNNNNNNNNNNNNNNNNNNNNNNNNNNNNNNNNNNNNNNNNNNNNNNNNNNUGAUGAAGUCAAAGCGUUAGCGGUAAGAGAUGGCCUCGCGUCUGAUUAGCUUGUUGGCGGGGUAACGGCCCACCAAGGCGACGAUCAGUAACCGGCCUGAGAGGGUGAACGGUCACAUUGGAACUGAGACACGGUCCAAACUCCUACGGGAGGCAGCAGUGGGGAAUCUUGCACAAUGGGGGCAACCCUGAUGCAGCGACGCCGCGUGAGCGAUGAAGGUUUUCGAAUCGUAAAGCUCUGUCCUAUGGGAAGAUAAUGACGGUACCAUGGGAGGAAGCCCCGGCUAACUACGUGCCAGCAGCCGCGGUAAUACGUAGGGGGCGAGCGUUGUCCGGAAUUACUGGGCGUAAAGGGUUCGCAGGCGGCAUGGCAAGUCCGAUGUAAAAGGCGAAGGCUCAACCUUCGUAAGCAUCGGAAACUGUCAAGCUUGAGUGAAGGAGAGGCAAGUGGAAUUCCUAGUGUAGCGGUGGAAUGCGUAGAUAUUAGGAGGAAUACCGGUGGCGAAGGCGACUUGCUGGACUUCAACUGACGCUGAGGAACGAAAGCGUGGGUAGCAAACAGGAUUAGAUACCCUGGUAGUCCACGCCGUAAACGAUGAGUGCUAGGUGUCGGGGGUCAUACCUCGGUGCCGCCGUUAACACAAUAAGCACUCCGCCUGGGGAGUACGUGCGCAAGCAUGAAACUCAAAGGAAUUGACGGGGACCCGCACAAGCAGCGGAGCAUGUGGUUUAAUUCGAAGCAACGCGAAGAACCUUACCAGGACUUGAAAUACUAGCGCCCGCUUUAGAGAUAAAGUUUUUUCUUCGGAAACGCUAAUACAGGUGGUGCAUGGUUGUCGUCAGCUCGUGUCGUGAGAUGUUGGGUUAAGUCCCGCAACGAGCGCAACCCUUACUUUUAGUUGCCAGCACGUAAUGGUGGGAACUCUAAAGGGACUGCCGAUGAUAAAUCGGAGGAAGGUGGGGAUGACGUCAAAUCAUCAUGCCCUUUAUGUCCUGGGCUACACACGUGCUACAAUGGUCGGUACAGAGGGCAGCAAACGAGCGAUCGCAAGCGAAUCUCAAAAAGCCGAUCCCAGUUCGGAUUGCAGGCUGCAACUCGCCUGCAUGAAGUCGGAGUUGCUAGUAAUCGCGAAUCAGAAUGUCGCGGUGAAUGCGUUCCCGGGUCUUGUACACACCGCCCGUCACACCAUGGGAGUUGGCAAUACCCGAAGCCAGCGAGCCAACCGCAAGGAGGCAGCUGUCGAAGGUAGGGUUAAUGACUGGGGUGAAGUCGUAACAAGGUAGCCGUAUCGGAAGGUGCGGCUGGAUCACCUCCUU
This 1568-nucleotide ribosomal RNA is filed under the name uncultured Peptoniphilus sp. RNAcentral's name for it is "Bacterial small subunit ribosomal RNA". It matches the Rfam family "Bacterial small subunit ribosomal RNA". The record is from RNAcentral. Lineage: Bacteria; Bacillati; Bacillota; Tissierellia; Tissierellales; Peptoniphilaceae.